GUAGGUGAUACGGUUUGGCUGUGUCGCCACCCAAAUCUCUUCUCGAAUUUCCACAUGUUGUGGGAGGGACCUACUGGGAGGUAAGUGAAUUGUGGGGGCAGGUCUUUCCCGUGCUAUUCUCCUGAUAGUGAAUACGUCUCAUGAGAUCUGAUGGUUUUAAAAAUGGGAGUUUCCCUGUGCAAGCUCUCUUCUCUUGUUUGCCACCAUGUGAGAUGUGCUUUUCACCUUCUGCCAUGAUUGUGAGACCUCCCCAGCCACGAGGAACUCUUAAGGUCACCUGAGGCCACUCUGAUUGCUGCCUGGAAAGUGGAAGGAUUGAGUACAGCAGGAGUUCAAGGUGUGCUGACACAAGAGCCGGCCGGCAAGCAGGUCUGGACUGGAAGCAGCAUUUGUAGGAGAGGCUCACGGGGGUGGUUCCUGUUCCCUGGGCCUGUUGAAUUCCACUCCUCAGUCCUCAGAACAGAUGCAAAGUCCUGUGGAUUCUCCUGGCUAACUUCUCCUGCCACAUUCCUUUUUUGACUAUGUCUCUCAAUUCCUUCUGUGUUUUCUGUCAUCAGAGUGGUAGGUAGCAAGACUAGAGGAGAAAUUAACAAAAGUGAAAAAAUGAGGAGAUGAUGAGGGGAAAGUUUAGUAUGGCCAUUUCCUUCUUACUUUAAAUGUUGUUGUAUCUUUUUGGGGGUGGGGAGUGGAGCGGUGCCUGUCACCUGCUUCCUGUUAUAAAAUUGUACAAGACCUAAUUAGGAAGUUAAUUUACCAGUUCUCACAGCAGCAAUAAUAAAAAUAAAAAUCUGUGUAUGGUAUUUUUAUAAAGUGUUUGUAGAGUUUUCACAUAUUUUAUUUAUUAUUCCAUAAACAUCCAUUGAAUGCUUGCACUACCAGAACUCCUAUAGGCGUCACAGGGGAGUUUAUCAUUCUAGUGUUAGAGACAUUAAACACAGACACACACACUCAAAGCAGAAUGAAGUGGACACAUGACAGUGUGUGCUCCCCAGUGCUAUCAGAGAAGCAGGUGCAGUGGGCUGCCUGGCCAGCAGCCUCUGUGAGUGCCUCGCCAUGCCUGUUCAGAUAUAACUCAUCCCCUAGUGACACAGACCUUGAGUCCUGGGAGGGCAGAGACUGAUCUUGCCCAACACUCACAUGCCAGUGCCUAGCUCAGCCUGGGGCUAGAACACCUUUCUGCUUGCUCUUUAUCCAGCCCUUUGACAUCAUUCAUGCCUCCAUCCAUUCCCCUCUUGUGAAACUCUCUCCUCACUGAACUUCCUUGACACCACCUUCUCCUAGUGUUACUGGAUGGGAAGUCUUGACUGCAAGUUUUCCAGGUUCUUGGCAUAUUCAACAAAGAAUUGAAAAAAAUGCACAGACAAAGCAAUGGACGACAAAAGCAAAGACUUAUGGACACGAAAGUACACUCCACAGAGUGGGAGUAGGCUCCAGCAAGUGGCUCAAGAGCCCUGAUG
This 1457-nucleotide long non-coding RNA is filed under the name Homo sapiens (human). Its description in RNAcentral is "HSALNT0215597". The record is from RNAcentral. Lineage: Eukaryota; Metazoa; Chordata; Mammalia; Primates; Hominidae.